GAUGAACGCUGGCGGCGUGCCUAAUACAUGCAAGUCGAGCGAACAGGCGAGGAGCUUGCUCCUCUGACGUUAGCGGCGGACGGGUGAGUAACACGUGGAUAACCUACCUAUAAGACUGGGAUAACUUCGGGAAACCGGAGCUAAUACCGGAUAAUAUAUUGAACCGCAUGGUUCAAUGGUGAAAGACGGUUUUGCUGUCACUUAUAGAUGGAUCCGCGCCGCAUUAGCUAGUUGGUAAGGUAACGGCUUACCAAGGCAACGAUGCGUAGCCGACCUGAGAGGGUGAUCGGCCACACUGGAACUGAGACACGGUCCAGACUCCUACGGGAGGCAGCAGUAGGGAAUCUUCCGCAAUGGGCGAAAGCCUGACGGAGCAACGCCGCGUGAGUGAUGAAGGUCUUCGGAUCGUAAAACUCUGUCAUUAGGGAAGAACAAAUGUGUAAGUAACUAUGCACGUCUUGACGGUACCUAAUCAGAAAGCCACGGCUAACUACGUG
RNAcentral lists this ribosomal RNA (497 nucleotides) under uncultured bacterium. RNAcentral describes it as "partial 16S ribosomal RNA". It matches the Rfam family "Bacterial small subunit ribosomal RNA", at positions 28 to 507 of the family's 1533-position model. The record is from RNAcentral.